GACGAACGCUGGCGGCGUGCUUAACACAUGCAAGUCGAACGAUGAAGAAGAGAAACGCGAACUUCGGUUCAAAUUUCACUUCGGAUUAGUGGCAGACGGGUGAGUAACGCGUGAGCAACCUACCUCUUACAAAGGGAUAGCCUCGGGAAACCGUGAUUAAUACCAUAUGACACAUUCAUAAGGCAUCUUAAGAAUGUUAAAGCUACGGCGGUAAGAGAUGGGCUCGCGUCCCAUUAGCUAGUUGGUGAGGUAGCGGCCCACCAAGGCGACGAUGGGUAACCGGCCUGAGAGGGUGAACGGUCACAUUGGAACUGAGACACGGUCCAAACUCCUACGGGAGGCAGCAGUAGGGAAUAUUGCACAAUGGAGGGAACUCUGAUGCAGCGACGCCGCGUGAGCGAUGAAGGAAUUCGUUUCGUAAAGCUCUGUUCUAUGGGAAGAAAAGGACUGUACCAUAGGAGAAAGCCCCGGCUAAAUACGUG
Molecule: ribosomal RNA, 482 nt
Filed under: uncultured bacterium
Lineage: Bacteria
Description: partial 16S ribosomal RNA
Rfam family: Bacterial small subunit ribosomal RNA
Source: RNAcentral